RNAcentral lists this ribozyme (74 nucleotides) under unclassified sequences. RNAcentral's name for it is "HDV ribozyme from F. prausnitzii". It matches the Rfam family "HDV ribozyme from F. prausnitzii". The record is from RNAcentral.
GCUACUCGGAAAAUGCACACCGCUACGAGGUAAGCAGCAAGCAACGAUCUAUUAUGAUUGGCUGAGAUGUGAAG